ACGAACGCUGGCGGCAUGCCUAACACAUGCAAGUCGAACGCGACCUUCGGGUCUAGUGGCGCACGGGUGCGUAACGCGUGGGAACCUGCCCUUAGGUUCGGAAUAACUCCCCGAAAGGGGUGCUAAUACCGGAUAAUGUCUUCGGACCAAAGAUUUAUCGCCUUUGGAUGGGCCCGCGUUGGAUUAGCUAGUUGGUAGGGUAAAAGCCUACCAAGGCGACGAUCCAUAGCUGGUCUGAGAGGAUGAUCAGCCACACUGGGACUGAGACACAGCCCAGACUCCUACGGGAGGCAGCAGUGGGGAAUAUUGGACAAUGGGCGAAAGCCUGAUCCAGCAAUGCCGCGUGAGUGAUGAAGGCCUUAGGGUUGUAAAGCUCUUUUACCCGGGAUGAUAAUGACAGUACCGGGAGAAUAAGCUCCGGCUAACUCCGU
RNAcentral lists this ribosomal RNA (431 nucleotides) under uncultured bacterium. RNAcentral describes it as "partial 16S ribosomal RNA". It matches the Rfam family "Bacterial small subunit ribosomal RNA", at positions 29 to 506 of the family's 1533-position model. The record is from RNAcentral.